This 499-nucleotide ribosomal RNA is filed under the name Veillonella dispar. RNAcentral describes it as "bacterial SSU rRNA". It matches the Rfam family "Bacterial small subunit ribosomal RNA", at positions 28 to 494 of the family's 1533-position model. The record is from RNAcentral. Lineage: Bacteria; Bacillati; Bacillota; Negativicutes; Veillonellales; Veillonellaceae.
GACGAACGCUGGCGGCGUGCUUAACACAUGCAAGUCGAACGAAGAGCGAUGGAAGCUUGCUUCUAUCAAUCUUAGUGGCGAACGGGUGAGUAACGCGUAAUCAACCUGCCCUUCAGAGGGGGACAACAGUUGGAAACGACUGCUAAUACCGCAUACGAUCUAACCUUGGCAUCGAGGAUGGAUGAAAGGUGGCCUCUAUUUAUAAGCUAUCACUGAAGGAGGGGAUUGCGUCUGAUUAGCUAGUUGGAGGGGUAACGGCCCACCAAGGCGAUGAUCAGUAGCCGGUCUGAGAGGAUGAACGGCCACAUUGGGACUGAGACACGGCCCAGACUCCUACGGGAGGCAGCAGUGGGGAAUCUUCCGCAAUGGACGAAAGUCUGACGGAGCAACGCCGCGUGAGUGAUGACGGGCCUUUCGGGUUGUAAAGCUCUGUUAAUCGGGACGAAAAGGCCUUCCUGCGAAUAAAUAGAAAGAAUGACCGACCGGAAAAAAAACCCGC